Mauremys mutica (yellowpond turtle) is the source of this 525-nucleotide non-coding RNA. The record is from the annotation of a RefSeq genome assembly. Lineage: Eukaryota; Metazoa; Chordata; Testudines; Geoemydidae.
AUGGGAUUUUUGCUUCUGUUCAUUUUCGCUGUAGCAGCUUUGGAAGGUGUCCGGUCCCAGGUGCAGCUGGUGGAGUCCGGAGGGGAUGUGAAAAAGCCCGGAGACUCUCACCGCCUCUCCUGCAAAGCCUCCGGGUUCACCUUCAGCAGCGCCUACAUGAAUUGGGUCCGACAGGCUCCCGGGAAGGAACUUGAAUGGGUCGCUCAUAUAAACCCUAGUUUGGGUACUGCAUACCCUGAUUCAGUGAAAGGCCGAUUCACCAUCUCCAGGGAUAAUCCCAAGAGUGAGCUGUAUCUGCAAAUGACCGGCCUGAAGCCCGAGGACACCGCCCGCUAUUACUGUGACAUCGGAGAACUGGAGUCCCAAGAAUGGAUGAAAGAAACCCACGGCAGUGAAUGUACUAAAAACAGCCUAAAGUUCAACUACAAUAUCAGCUACACCCAGAUUCAGAAUCCGAAGCCCCGGGUCUGUGCAGAUACCAGCCAAUCCCGUGAGAACCUUCCCCUCCAGCACCAGGGGAAAUGA